AACUUUGAAACACCGGUUUCUGUACGAUCAGUGAAGUUAAGCAAUGGCAAUCCUGAUCAGUACCUUGAUGGGUGACCUCUUGAGAAUACCAUGUGAUG
This is a non-coding RNA of Acanthosepion pharaonis, 98 nucleotides long. The record is from the annotation of a GenBank genome assembly. Lineage: Eukaryota; Metazoa; Mollusca; Cephalopoda; Sepiida; Sepiidae.